RNAcentral lists this long non-coding RNA (751 nucleotides) under Homo sapiens (human). RNAcentral's name for it is "novel transcript". The record is from RNAcentral. Lineage: Eukaryota; Metazoa; Chordata; Mammalia; Primates; Hominidae.
AGAAGAAAUUGGAAAAGACAUUUGGAAAUACAAAGAGAUUUUCGAGGAUCCUGAAAUCAGGGCACAGGUGCAGCUGCCAGCCCUGCCUCCUGUUCAUGCUGGCUCUUGAGUGUCCCUGGUUUGUACUUCCACUGUCUGCAUUAAACUUCUGGGGACCAUUAAGGCUGAUAUUUCUCCAAGGAGCUCCUCUUCCCUAACUUGGGUGGCUAAAUGGCACCUUUAUAUUUAGUUUGGUUUUUAUCCUCUCCUUCAUGGUCCUCUCCCCUACAAAUUAUAGAUGGAAGAUGUUUAAGGCCAGUGCUAUGAAGAAAUUAAUAAGUUCAAAUACAGUAUCUGAGGGGGAUUGGUUCCAGAACCUCCUGCAGAUACCCAAAUCCAGAAUAGUGCAGAAAGGUGUAUACUAAACAACAUUUGGAAGAAGAAAAACCUGGCAUCAUUCUGAGAAAGUAUUUUCUCUAACUCUGAGCAUGCAGUUAAUUCUAUGGAUAAACUGAAAGGAACAGGAUGGAUAUUGGACAGCUUCCCUGCUUUUCUAGAAUCAAAUGCAAAACUAUUGUUUUAAUUCAAAUCAAUUAUCAAACUGUGCCACAUUAUUCUUCUUAUUUUUAAUCCAACGUUUAAGGAGAACCUUCUGUGAGCAAGAUCAUUCUCUGGGCAUAAGGUAUAUUCAAAGAUAACUAAGAUAGUCUCUCUCUCUCUCUCAGAGAGCUCGUAAUGUGUACAGGAAAUAAAUUACAUUUGUUGGCAAAAA